This 253-nucleotide ribosomal RNA is filed under the name uncultured bacterium. RNAcentral describes it as "partial 16S ribosomal RNA". It matches the Rfam family "Bacterial small subunit ribosomal RNA", at positions 524 to 776 of the family's 1533-position model. The record is from RNAcentral. RNAcentral also lists the same sequence under 1 other name.
GACAGAGGUCCCAAGCGUUAGGCGGAAUCACUGGGCUUAAAGCGUGUGUAGGCGGAUUUGUAAGUACCUUGUGAAAUCCCACGGCUCAACCGUGGAACUGCUUGGUAUACUGCUUAUCUUGGGCCAUCUAGGGGCGAGCGGAACAAACGGUGGAGCGGUGAAAUGCGUAGAUAUCGUUUGGAACGCCAAUGGUGAAAACAGCUCGCUGGGGAUGUGCCGACGCUGAGACACGAAAGCCAGGGGAGCGAACGGG